UACGAUAAUUUUAGCGUUUGAUAGUUCGGUAUUAUGUUGUGCUCGCAUAAUGUUAAGAAUGGAUCAGAUUGGAUCUCAAAGUUAAUAGUUGAUAGCCCAUUUUUUUCUAAUCUGCAUAUCAAACACAUAUUAAACAAUCAAGAAAUAUUAAUCAUAUAACUUUAUCUAUUUUAGAUGCUUAAAUUGUUGACAGAAAAUGGCUUAUAUUAGUAAAAUUUUCGACGAUCGUGGAUAUAAAGACAUUAAUGUGAUAAUCGGUAUAAAAUUUAAAAUUAUAGAUUUUUAAGCACUCAAUUUGAGCAUUGACAAUUAGACAAUUGUCUGUUUAUAUUAAGUUCUUCCCCACUCUAGUCAUAUAAGAGCUGCGAGGAUAAUGUAACUGCGUAUGAUGAAUCUAACUACCUACAUUUUUGCAGAGAUCUUCAAAAGAAAACUGGGAGCCCGCAGGUCCUCCAUGAAAAGCGGGAAACAAACGGUGUGCGGACUUGCUAGCAAACGAGGACACUAAGUUAGGAAGUAACUGUUUUUGGAAGGAAUGGACAGUUCCACCUUUUUUUGUUCAGGACUGGUACUAAGCAAAUAAGGAUGGAACUUCUUUUGUAGGGCACUAUCAAGAUGCCCCUAGCUAUGUAUGUACUACUAAUAUCUUUACUAAUGACGUUAGGCCAGAACUUUCUCCGGCUAGUCAUGAGCCGCCUACUUGUAUUACCAACUCUAUUUAGCUAAUGUAAUAUAACCCCUUUUAACCAAAAAAAAAAAAAGAGUUGUAAGGAACAGGAACUUAAUAUAAACAAAUAAGUGCUUGAUUGUCGCUGCUCUUGUGUGUUUAAGGAUCCAUAAUUUUCACUUUUAUCACGAUCAUAAUGUUUUUCUUUAUAGUUACGAUCCUCCCAAGUUUCACCUGUGUGAGUCAUUUUCUUUCAACAAUUUAAGCACUCGAAAUAAAGUUAUAAGAUUUAGUAUUGUUUGGUUUUUUAUUUUGCAUGUUUGAUAUGUGUAUUACGAUGAUAAGGACUCCAACUAUUGACUUUGAGAUUCAUCUUCAACAUCAAUGUAAAAAAAAUAAUUGACUAUCAAAAUAAAAUUCAAUUUUUUUCAAAAUGAAAUACAACAUAGUCUAGACUUAACAAAUUUUCUUCAUUUUUUUCAAGAUCCAGCAACUUGUCUUAACCAUAUAAACAAGAACAUAAAUUUUAUUCGAGAUAUACACUAGUUCACUUUAAAUUUUGUGAUUUUACAUACUUAUUAAAUGAAAAUAUAUCACAACUUCAAAACUUAUUAAGAACCUAAUAAUAAAAUCCUGCAUGUUUUUUCAAACAUUAACAAGUAGAGACAUGAAAAAAUAACUUGAAUAAUAUAAAGGAAGAAAAUAGAUCUUACUAAUUUCUUUUUAGGACUUAUACAUAUAUUUUAACUAGUAUAAAAUUGUGUAUAAUAAUUAUUUGUUUCAAUUUGUGAUAUGAUAAUUACUUGUUUGAGUUUGUGAUUUAGUUUACUCAAGCAUAAAUUGUAUUUGUAAUUAUUUGUGUUAAAUUCUUGAUAUGAUAAUUGCUUGUUUGAAUUUGUGAUAUGGUAAUUGUUUGUUUGCGUUUGUGAUUUAUAAGCUAAAUGCCGAUUGUAUUAUUGCUUUGAUGUAUGUGAAGUUUAUAAUUUUUUGUUCGAGUUAGUGAUUCAUACACUGAAUGAUGAUUUUAUUAUUGUUUUGAUGUAUGUGAAGUUGAUAAUUGCUUGUUUGAGUUUGUGAUUUAUAAGCAAAAUGAUGAUUUUAUUAUUGCUUUGAUGUAUAUGAAGUUGAUAAUUAUAAAUUAUGUGUUUGAGUUCAUGUUUUAUAAUGUUGAUUUUAUUACUGCCUUGAUGUAUAUGAAGUUCUAUUGAAGUACGACAGAGAGACACGUGAGCAAGAUUCGAGAGAGAAUAACGCUUCAGGAAUAUGAUGUAAAUAGUUUAAUCUAAUGUAAGUUGAAUUAGUAUUUAGUAAUUGUUUGUUUAGUUUGAUAAUUACUUCUUUGAAUUUGCCACUUAGCAAUUAAUUGCUUAAAUAUGAGAAUUAAAAAUUGUUUGUUCGAACUGGUGAAGUAAUUGUUUGUUCGAACUCGUAAUUUAUCAAUCAUGAUUUUCGUCUCCAUAAAGCCUAGAUUUGUGUUGUAGUACUUUUUGGUUUGAAUUUGUGAGCAAGUGGUUGUUUGUUUGAACUCGUAAUGCAUAAGUUAGGUGAUAAUUUUAUUAUUGUUUAAAGGCCUGUUUAGUUUUACUGAAAGAAUAGAGCAGAGAGACUGACUUCAGCACGAUUAGAGAAAAGGAGAUACUGUAAAUGAUGUGAUGUAAAUAAUCUAUUUUUGUUGCUAACAACACUGGUAAUUAUUUGUUUGAAUUUGUUGCUCAGUAAUUACUUGUUCAAAUUCAUGACUUUGUGAUUGCUUGCUCGAAUUCAGGACCUAAUAAAUAUCGCUUGAACUAGAAAUUUAUUGAUUAUACAAAAAUAAUAGAUCCAAAGGUGUUUAAUUGGUAAAAAAGAGUUCAAGUCAACGGAAAUGAAUCUAUACAAUCUUAAAAUUAUGAACUCUCAAUAAAAGUAAAUUAUUAUUUUUAUUCAAUGGUAGAAUAAGAAAGUUAUAAAUAGCGGUUUUUGCUUUAUUUCCUUUUCAUAAAACAAAAAUCUCUUUGUGAUAUCACGUGAUAGUUUAGGAAUAACAUAUAUAUGUUCAAAAAAAUAAUUUUAUUUGUAAAAAGACUUCACAGAUUAAUUUUUUUCCCUAAAAAAAUGGCUAUACUAUAUCCACAAGUAAAAAAUCAACACAAUAUCUCUUCAUAUUCAAUUCUUUUCUCUUUUUAGACCUAGGGGCGGACCUAUAGAUAAAAAAUGGGUGUUCGAGCACCCAUUUAUCUUAACUCGCAAUUGGUACAAUUAUAUUAGAAAUUGAAGAAAAAGGAUAUGAUAAAUCAGAAAGCAUCUACAGACAUUAAAUCUGACUUGGUGCGUUGGUUGUGGAAACUUUCAAGUAGGAGCAUGCGAGAGUUCAAAACCCAUUGAAGUUCUUUUUUAACAUAAUUUUUAGUUGUUUUGUUGCCACUGUUUGAUCUAAAUCCUAAUGCCGGCUUCAUAGAUAGUUUUUUAUCCCAAUGCUGGUUUCAUAAAUAGUUCUUUAUUCCAAUGCCAAUUUCAUAAAUAGUCCUUUUAUUUCCACUGUUUGAUUCAAAUCUCAAUGCUGCCUUCAUAAAUAGUUCAUUUGUUGCCGCUGUUUGACCCAAAUCCCAAUGCUGACCUCAUAAAUAAGCAAUUAAAGACACCAAAGUUUGACCCCUCAAUAUUUUUUUUUGGGGAUAAUACUCACAAAAAUACCUAAAGUUUGACCGGAUUACCAGUUGAGCAUAUUGAACUUUGCGGGGGUCCUACUACACACCUAUACUUUUUAAGUGGAAUUAAUCUGCCCCCCAGACUUUUUUAAAGUUGAAUUAAUUACACCCCACAAAGUUAUACCUAGUUUUGAUGUCGAAAGUGUAGUACACGCGCUUUGUCUUCUCCAUUUUAUCACUUUUCAAUAUUUUUCACCAUUAUAACCAUAUUAAAGAUUAAAAAACUCAAAUUCCUUCUACAUAUCAAAUUUCAAAUGAUUUCAUUGAGUCAAUUACAAAUUUCAUGUCCAAAAAAGUAGAAAUUCAAAUUCAAAUUUUAAUUUCUGACUAUUCAACACAACCUGUGGCACAUUGAACGCAAUGAAAUUGGAAAUUGAAUUUGAAUUUAAGUAUGAAAUUGAAUUUGAAUUUGAAAUUAUUCAAAGUUUCAAAUUGAAAACUUUCUUCAAGAAUUAUUCAAAUUUUCUUCUAGUUUCGACGAACAAUUUUUUCCCCUCUCUUAGUGGAUUUUCUUUUUUGAUUUUUCCCCUUAGUUGGUGGUUGAUCAAUGGUGGUUGGUUGGUGGUGGAAAGGGUGGGUUAAAUUUUGUCAUUUUGAUGUAGUUGAAGAUGACCCAUAUGGGGAGGAGGGUGUUGAAAUUUAAUCAAAUUGAUGUAAUUGAAUUGGGUGUGUUGAAUAUGACCAUUUGGGUGUGUAUGUUUGUGAUGAAAUUGUGUUCAAUUUCAAUUUAAUAAUGGAGCAACCAUUGUUGAAGACUCCAUUGUUGGAGAGAAUAAAGAAAGAAGAUAGAAGAGAAGACAGAAGAAUUAAAAAAAUAAAUAAAAAAUAUAAGAAUUAAAAAAUUUAGGGGUUGUUUGGCAAAAAAUAGGAGUUUUUAACGUUUUCUAACGGUUUCACGCGCUCAAUGCGCGUGACUAAGACAUAAUGGGCCAAGUGGCAGUUAUAUGCCAUUAAAAUACGAAGAAAAAAGUCUGAGGGGUAAUAGGACCCCCGCAAAGUUAAGUAUGUUCAACUGGUAAUCCGGUCAAACUUCAGGUAUUUUUCUAAUUAUUCUCCCAUUUUUUUUAUAUUUUGACAGGUAAUCCGGUCAAAAUUCAAAUAUUUUGGUGAGUAUUCAGAUAUAUGCCAAUUAGCGAAUUUUGCUUUAUUUCCCUUUUAUAAAACAAAAAUCUCUUUGUGAUAUCACGUGACAGUUUAGGAAUAACAUAUAUAUGUUCAAAAAAUUUAAUUUUAUCUGUAAAAGACUUCAUAGAUUAAUUUUUUUCCCUAAAAAAAUGGCUAUACUACAUCCACAAGUAAAAAAUCAACCCAAUAUCUCUUCAUAUUCCAUUCUUUUCGCUUUUUAGACGCAGGGGCGGACUUACAGAUAAAAAAUAAGUGCUCGAGCACCCAUUGAUCUUAACUCAGAAUAGGUACAAUUAUAUUAGAAAUUGAAGAAAAAGGAUAUAAUAAAUCAGAAAGAAAGCAUCCACAGACAUUAAAUCUAACUUGGUGUGUUAGUGGUGGAAACUUUCAAGUAAGAGUGUGCAAGAGUUCAAAUACCAUUGAAGUUCUUUUUUGACAUAAUUCUUAGUUGUUUUGUUGACACUGUUUGAUCCAAAUCCUAAUGUCGGCAUCAUAAAUAGUUCUUUAUCCCAAUGCUGGUUUCAUAAAUAGUUCUAUAUUCUAAUGCCGACUUCAUAAAUAGUUCUUUUAUUUCCACUGUUUGAUUCAAGUCUUAAUGCUGACUUCAUAAAUAGUUCUUUUGUUGCCACUGUUUGACCCAAAUCCCAAUGCUGACCUCAUAAAUAAAGAAUUAAAGACACCAAAGUUUGGCCCCUCAAUAUUUUUCUUUUUUUUUACCCUUGAACAUUAAUUUAACAAACAAUUAAAAUUCACGAUAUUUAUAAUCUAAAUAUGAAUAGUUUUAAUCAAAUUUCUUCAUUGUCAUCAUCAAAUAAUUGUACACCUAUACUAUAUAAUUAACAGUAACUAGAUCUUUUGUAAAAAAAUUGAGCACCCACGAACUCAGAAUUUUGAGUUCGCCGCUAUCUAGACCUUAAGUUUUUUCUCUUUAUCUAUAUAUCACGUGAAUUUAAUAGAACUCAAAAUGAGAACUUUAUCAACAAAUACAAAAUUCAUCAUUUAAUUCACUAGAAAAGCAUUAUAAAAUAUAACCUAAAAAGGAUAUACAAGAAACGUAAUGCCUUGAAGAAGAAAACAGUUGAUUAUAUUGAAUAAAAUAUGAUUUUGAAUCUUUAUAAUUUAUUUUGAAUUUUAUUUUCUCGUAAAUUAUACAAAAUUUAAUUUGAGAUGAUAAAAGGUAAGCAGUGCUAUGCUUGAUUUUGUGUGAACUAUUAAUCGUCGGUAAUAAUUGCGUUUGAACUACUGUUUAAAUUUCAAAAAUUGCAAUUUUCUGAUAAAACAUGUAAUAUUCUUUAUCUAUAAAAUUCUAGUAAAAAUAAUGAGUCAAAUACUACUACAAUUUUAAAAGAUAUAUAAUAUUUUUUAAAAUAUACUUCUCAAUAUAAACAAGUUUCGAAAGGUUUGUCAAAUAAUCACUUAGAUGGAUUUUUUUUUUCAAUUAAAAUUUUCUUAUUUAAUGCAAUGGAAAAAUAUAUUUUAUAAUUUUUCAUCAUAUUAAUAUGAUAAAAAUAUUUUUUAAAAUAUUACUUAAUUUAUUUAGAAACGAAAUAUGACAACUAAUUUGAAAUUAUCUAAUUCAAGAAGAUGUUAUAACACUUGUCAUCUCUAGUCACAUUUGUGACAUUUUUGUCUUUCCAAAACUCUUAUUCACUCAUUCCAAGAUUUCUAGCCAAUUUAUUAUCUUACUUUGAUGACUUGAGAAUGUAUCAUCGCGAUUUAAAGAUUUUAACAAAGUGAUAGUUAGACCGAUUAUAUUACAUGAAGUGGAAUGAUGAUCAACCAGGAAUUCUCAGACUCAAAAGAUGAAGAUAGCAGAAAUAAAAAUGCUUAGAGUAAUACAUUGAUCUACUAGAAGAUAAGAUUAAUAAUAAAGAUAUGUGGGACAAUGUGAAAAUAGUUUUCGAGAAGGACAAGAUGCAAGAACGGUGUUUAGAUUAUUCGAAUAUAUGAAGAGGAAAAACACAAAAGCCCUUGUGAUGAAGUGCGAGAGAUUGACAGUGAUAGGUCCGAGCAGAGGUAAAGAUCAAUCAGAGGCGGAGUGAGAACAACUAUUCAGGGGUUUCAAUAUCUACAAUAUAAAUAUAAAAAUUAUUUUAAUCAUAUAUUAAUAAUAAAAAUUUUCGUCGAAGGGGAUUUGGAUGAACCCCUUAUUAAUAGGCUGGCUCCGCCUCAGAGAUUAACCAAGGAAGAAUUACGGAGAAGUGAAUAGACAUAAUAUGACACAACCAUAGUUCAUAAAGAACAUGACCCUAUUCCUAGAUAGGAAAGUGAGGAGAACAAGAAUCAUAAUAGACGGUUAGUAAGUAAUAAAGUGUUUUUCUCUUUCCAGUGGUCUUGUUAGUGUUCGAGAUAAACUAAUAAAGAACUAUUAUUCGACGCUAAGAACAAUUGAUUCACAAUAAUUAGUGGUGGUUUAGCUAUACAUUAGAUCAUAACGAGUUUAAAUUAAAUUACUAUGUUCCAAAAUUGUUUCCUAUUGAAUUCAACCUGACUCAUAAUUGGAUAAAUUAUAUUAUGACAACUAUGUAUGCUUUCUUCUUUUUGAGGAGAGGGUUUGAACAUCAUCAGAAGCAAAUAUAACAAAAAGAUUUUUUGAGAUAUAUAGUUUUUUUUUUAAAUUAACUUUGGGCCUGACCCAUUUUAUUAAAUAAAAGAAGUAAUGUUUGUACAAAAUUACACAAGUGAGCCCAAAAAAUGAACAUAAAAAGAUAUCUGCACAGUCAAGACCCGAUCCACCAAUGGGUCUUGCCCUACUAUAAAAAUUCCCUAUAGUAAUGUUUUCUAAUUGUGACUUCCUAAGAUAAUCCUUAAAUGGCGCUGCUGGAAGCUCUCUCCAAUGACGAAUUUCCUAUACUCUUGUUUUGGGCCAUAAAUUUUCUCGAAGAUGAAGCAAGUUACGAGAUCUUCAUAUUUAGCUUGCAAAGGUGAGUCCAUUUCUAGUAUCCCGAAGCCCCUUUGCUAUAGAUAGAUAGUUCAAGAGGGUAUAUUAAUGUACAUCGUAAAUUGAAGAUUUUUCAAAUUCUACACAUUUACCAACUUUCCUGAAAAAUAAAAGAAAUAGAUCACUACUGACACUUCAAUAUAACGAACCACAUGACAACACUAACACUACUCUCUGCCUCUUCAAUCAACUACAUUCUUUCCGAAAUGUUAGUCGGAAGAACCUAGCUGGAAAAACAAGUUCCUUAAAAAUAAGGAAAAUAAUUUUCUUAAUGGAAGUAAGAAAAACAAGUUGUACAAGUGACAUUUUAUGUUUAUUAUGUCCUCCAUUUAACACCACCAACCCCUACCCCUUGACUAGGGGUGUCAACAGGGCGGGUUGGGUUGAGAUUGAAAAUAUUAAAUGAGUUGAAUUGGAUACUGGGUUGGGUCAUGACCCGCCCGAUUUGAGUCGUUUAGUCUAAAAAUAAAAAUUUAAUUUUUUUAAAAAUAUAAAUUCAUUUUUUCGGGAGGGGUGCACCGGGAGGUUGGGUGUUAGGAUGGGUAGCGGUAAGAAUUUUUUUAAGAAAACUAAUUGAUUUUUUUUAAAAAAAUAACUUUUUGAGAAUGGGGUAUGCCAUGAGGGUAGGGUAAGAAUUUUAAAUAAAUAAAUAAUUUUUAAAAAGAAUUAUUUUUUAAAAAAUAAAAAUUGGGAGCGUUGUGGGAUUUCGUGUGUGGAGGUAGGGAAGGGAUGGUUUUUGAGGUAAAAAAUUUUCAUUCUAAAAAAAAGACAUUUAAUUUUGUAAAAAACUAUAUUUUUUAGGGAAUGGGGUAAUGUCAUAUAGGGAGUGCAGGGGGUUGGGUAAAUUUUUUUAAUAAAAAAAUUAUUUAUUUAUUUUAAAAUAAUAUUUCUAAAAAAAUAAUUUUUUUGUAAGGAUUUGGGGAUAAGGCGAAGGGUAGAGGAUAGGAUUUUGAUCGUGAGGUAAGAAAAGAUUUGCAAUUUAAAAAAAAUAUUAAAAAAAUUAAUUUUUUGGGUGGAGGUGGGGAUGAGGGUGGGGGUCUGGGUAGGGAAGGGAAUGGGGAUGAGAUGGGGUGGGGGCAAAAAAAUUUAUAAUUUGUUUUUAAGAAAUAAAAAUAAUAUAUUUAAUGGAGGCAGGGUGAGUGGGGUAAGCUAGGAGUGUAGUGGGGUUGGGGUGAGGUGUUGUGGGUCAUUUUGAGAGUAGGAGGACAUAUUAUCGCUUGUUUUUCUGACUUCCAUUAAGAAAAUUAUUUUUUAUUAAAUGGGUUGAAGUGGAGAUUGAUUGGACUCAUUUGAACCCAAUUUAAAAAUGAGUUGAGAUUUAUCCAAUAGUAAAUUAUUUAUUAAACGGGUUGAAGUGGAGAUUGAUUGGGCUCAUUUGAACCCAAUUUACAAAUGAGUUGCGAUUUACCCAAUAGUAAAUUAUCUUGAACUCAACCCAUUAAAUAUUGGGCGAGUUGGACGGGUUAGCUCAAUUUGGGUUCAUUUUUACACCUCUACCCUUAACCAUCCCACCCCGUCACCCUCAACAACCCACACCCUAACCUAUCCCACUUCUAGAGCUUUUUGCUAAAUUUUGUAUAAAUGAUCUUGACGGCAAGGAUGCCUAAAGCUUGGAGUAGAUAUUCAGUCGUAUAAGAAUAAGUAUGGCAUUCAGGAUUGCAAUAAUUAUAGAGGUAUUAAGCUAUUGCGUCACACUAUGAAGGUUUGGGAGAGGGUGAUAGAGUUGAGGUUGAAUAGGAACGUUACUAUUUCUGAAAAUCAGUUUGUAUUUAUGUCAAUGCGUUCGACUAAUAAAUCCAUCCAUUUUGCUAGGAGAAUGAUGGAGUAGUAUACGGAAGGAAUGAAGGAUUUGCACAUAGUGUCUAUCCACUUAGAAAAGACUUAUGAUAGAGUUCCUAGGGAGGUUCUUUACAGGUGUUUGGAGGCUAAAGGUGUACCUAUCGUGAUUAUUAGGGUGAUUAAGGAUACGUACAAUGGAUCGAAGACUCGGGUUAGGACUAGGGGAGGUUACUCAGAGCACUUUCCCAUCUUGAUGGAGUUACACCAAGGAUUGAUGCUUAGUUCGUUCCCUUUUGCCUUGGUGAUGGAUGUUUUGACGUGGAAAAUUCAAGGUGACGUGCCUUAUUGUUUGCUUUUUUUGAAUGCUAUGGUCUUGAUUGAUGAGUCAUGUAGUGGAGUUAAUGCUAAAUUAAAGGUUUGGAUGCAAACCCUUGAGUCUAAAGGAUUUAGGUUGAGUAGGUCCAAGAUGAAAUAUAUAGAGUAUAAGUAUAACGAGGUGUAGCAUGAGUCCAAUAUGGUUGUUAAGCUUGAUACUCGUUCUAUUAAUAAGAGAUAUAGUUUCAAGUAUAUAGGGUCUAUGAUUCAGGAGAAUGGAGAGAUUGACUAAGAUGUCACUUAUCGAUUAGGGUAGGCUGGAUGAAAUAGAAGUUCGCCUCCAAAAUCUUGUCUGACAAAAAGGUACCUCCUAAACUUAAAGGCAAAUUUUACAGAGUGGUAGUUAGACUGAUUUUAUUGUAUGAGGCGGAGUGCUGGCCUGUUAUGAAGGCCCACAUUUAGAAUACGAAGGUAGUAGAGAUGAAAAUGCUUCGGUGGAUGUGUGGGUAUACUAGAAAAUAUAGUAUUAGAAAUGAGGUUAUUUGAGAUAAGGUAGCAGUGGCUUUAGUGAAAACCAAGAUGAGGGAAACAAGGUUGAGAUGGUUUGGUUAUAUGAUGAGAAGGGGCACAGAUUCCCAACAGCAAGUGUGGGGAUGGUUUCAAAUGAUGUAGAGGUAGACCGAAGAAAUAUCGGAAAAAGUUGAUUAGACAUGACAUGGAGCAGCUCCAACUUAUCGAGGACAUGAACCUAUAUAGGAAGUUAUGGAGGAGGCACAUUAGAGUAAAAGGUUAGUAUGAGUUUAGGAUGUCGUAUUACUUUGUGUAGCUUGUUUAUGGUAUUAUUGGAUAUGUUAAUUUCUAUUGUAUUUUGUUAUUUUACUAUUCCUUGUCUAGAUUGUUUUAUUUUGAUCCGGGGAUCUAUCAGAAAUAAUUAUCAAUCUCAUAUCCGAGGUAGUGGUAUGGACUGCAUACACUUACACCCCAAUCGCAAUUGUUGUUGUCUUUGUACUAAUGCUCAACCUCCUUAAAGAAUCUAUGCCUCACUAGAUAUAAGUAGUGGCGGAGCCAGAAUUUUCACCAAGAGGGUUUAAAAUCAAAAAAUGUAGGCACACGAAUUAAACAAAGGGGGUUCAACAUCAAUUAUAUAUAUACAAAACAUAAUUUUCACAUACAAAAAUAGUAUAAUUUUUUGCCAAAGGCGGUUCGACUGAACCCCUUAAUCAUAAUGCGGCUCCGCCACUGGAUACAAGUUUAAUACAUAACAAAAAUUUAAGACUUUUCAAUUGGGGAGACAAUCCAUGAAACUAAAUGAGUAAAUAUUGGGUGGAAUUAUCAAUAUAUGGACCAUUUAAUAGUAAAAUUUAACCUCCCAUACACUUAAAUAAUUUUCUUUUAAGGAAUAUAGAGGUAAAAACUUGAAUAAUUAGCUUAUUAUAAUGCUACCUAGUAGUAGUUCUAUUGGAAAGAGCAAGAAAAAAUUGUACAAAAAUGGAGUCACGAAUUCAACUUUAUGGGUUUUAAAUUUAAAAAUAAUGAGUUCAGUUGCCAAUAAUUUGAUACUACAUUUAAUAUUUGCACAUAUUUAGUGAAUUUCUAUGUUCAAUUACACUCUUUAUACAAUACCUAGAUCAUGCGUCUCCGAUUAAAGACUCAAUGCAUAAAAAAAACAGGACAAUUCAUAUCAUAUCUGAUUUAAGUAGAUGCAUGGUGUCCAUCAUAUCAUUAAAAUAUACUUCAAGAUCUUAAAAAGAUCAUAUCUAACAUGAUAGAACGAAAAUAAAACUUUAUCAAAAAAAAAUGCACAAAAAUCCAUUACUCAAUAUUACUAAAAAAUCAAAAUAUACUUCGCAAAACCUUUUCACCUAGUCGAUCGUGCUGAAGUCAGCAAUAGAUUCACCAAAUUAUACACCUUACGCUAGGAUUGAUAUGAGAGUGAGGUGAGUAUUAAGAUAAAGAUGAAGUCGGUUUUUUUUUUCUCUAAGGAAAUUGAAUUAUGUUGCUAAGAAGAGGACAGAGAGGAAUUCGAUGUUACAAAUUUGAUGACUUUAAGGGAGAUGCUCAUUCACUUGACGUGUUUCUGACCCAAAAGAAAUGAAAAAUGAAAGAAUAAUUGGUGUGCAAGGUCUAUGAGUGGAGUGUACUAUCAUGCCUUUAUUUUUUAUUAUUUUUCUAAAAAGAACAUAAAAAAGAAACAGACAAAAAUCUUAAUACCUGAAAUAUAAUGCCUAUACUGUAACACUUAAAAUAUAACACGUAAAAUAUAAUGCCUAUAUAUAUACUCUUCACAUAUAUUGUGAAGAGUUGACUAAUCGAAUUUUUGUAAUCCAUUUUAGAUUCUACUUUCUCUCACUCUAUAUCGAAUUCAACUUGAAGCAAUGAAAAGCAAAGAAUGCUAAGUUUUGUUUUAUAUAUAAAACAAAAAAGCUUAGUUUGCAAUUUCUAUUAGAAAAGCAAAUGCUACUAAGUUUUGUUUUAUAUCUAAAACAAAAAACUUAGUUUGCAAUUUCUAUUUGUGAAAGUAGAUAUAUAUAAAAAAAAACUUAAUAUUUUUUGUUUUCCAUUUCUUCAAGUUGAAUUCGGUAUUGGAUGAGAGAAAGUAGAAUCCAAAAUGGAUUACAAAGAUUUGAUUAGUUAACUCUUCAUAAUAUAUGUGAAGAGUAUAUAGAUAGGCGUUACAUUUUAGGUAUUAUGCUCUAAGCGUUACAGUCUAGGCGUUAUGUUCUAGGUAUUAAGAUUUUUGUCUCUUUCUUUUAAGGUUCUUUUUUUUUUCUGGAAAAAAAUAAAGGCAUGAUAGUACACUCCACUUCGUAGACAGUGCACACAAGUUCUUCUUUCAUUUUUCAUUCCUUCUGGGCCGGAAUAACAUCAAGUGACUGAGCACCUCCCAUAAAAUCACCAAAUUUGUAAAAUUCCUCCCCGCCCUCUUGUCAACAACAUAAUUCAACUUCCUUAGAGUAAAAAUAUUCAGCCUCAUCUUUUUCGUAAAAGUCAGCUCAUUCUCAUAUCAAUCCUAGCGUAAGGUGUAUGAUUUGGUGAAUCUGUUGCUGACUUUACCAUGAUCGAUAAGGUGAAAUGUUUUUGCAAAGUAUGUUUUGCCUUUUAGUGUAAUUGAGUAAUGGAUUUCUAUGCAUUUUUUUUUCUGAUAAAGUUCUAUUUUUGUUCUAUCAAAUUAGAUCUGAUUUUUUUGACUCCUUGAAGUAUAUUUUAAUGAUAUGAGGGACACCAUGCAUCUUCUUAAGUAAGAUAUGAUAUGAAUUGUGCUCUUUUUUGUCAUGCAUUAAGUUUUUAAUAAGAGAUGCAUGAUCUAGGUGUUGUACAAAGAGUGCAUUUGAAUUUAUAAGUUCGCUAAAAAUGUGCAAAUAUUAAACGUAGUAUCCAAUUAUUGACUACUGAAGUCAUUAUUUUAAAAUUCAAAGUCCAUAAAGUUGAAAUCACGACUCCAUUUUUGUGCGAGUUUUUCUUGCUCUUUUCGUUAUAAAUAACAUUCUGAUUUAUUUUUAUUUAAAUCAAAAAAAUCAAGAUAUGUGUGUAUUUAUUCGUGUGUGAGUAAGUAAGAUAUGUGCAUUGAAAAUUGACAUUACAUUCUUAACUAGCUUCAAAGUAAUAAAAAAAAUUCAUUUUAUAUGUACAUAUUAUCACAAGACUUAAAAGUGAACUUAACGAAGGUGCGAAAGCUGCGGUAUUGGCUGUGAAAUUGAGGGUUCGGUCAAUCCGUAUUUCUAUAUAUUGUUUUGAUAAUAAGCAGCUAACUGCAAGGAACCAGGUCCCUUGAUGUGAAUGGUACAACAUAGCUGGCAUGCGUGUCCGCACAAGUUUUGCCUUCUUGUGUAACGAACUUGCAGGUGUCGCUCGUACUGAAUGGAACACCUAGACCAAUCUUUUUUUAGUCCUAAUCAUCACUCAUCAUAAAAUAAAAAAUUCUUCUUCGUCAAACAUUUUUUGCAAUUCCAAAUAGUGAAGAGAGGCAAUAAAAAUCCCAUUUUUCAGCUCUGCUAAAAUUCUUAGAUGAUUAUAUCUGCUUGAAUAGGAAUUGUUCUUGAGUGAGAUUUGAUUUGUAAUUUAAUUACUCAUGCUAUAAGAGUAGUUUUUUUCUUUGAUGAGGGAAGUUCUUAGGUAGAGUUGAGUAAGCUUGAUACUGAUUUGAGUUAAUCAGUGUAGAGGUUCCUUGAUAGAGUUGUCAAGAUGAGCUUGUAAUAGAGUUAUUACAAGCGAAAGAAACCUAGAAUUAGGUUCAGUGAAGACUUUAAUCAAGAUUUUGAUCAUAGUGGAUUUGAAGUACUUGUGAGGGCAAGCCAUGAUAUUUCCCUUCCUUGAACAAAGGGGAUUUUCACAAUAAACUUUUGUGUUUUUACUCUUCCUGCACUCUCUUUUGAUUUCUGGUUAUUUUACUAGUUUUUGUUUGUGCUUGACUUUGAGGGACUUGGCCCUCACUAUGUUGUGUAACCCCCAGGGUUUCAACAAUUGGUAUUAGAGCUAGAGAACUCUAAAAGGUUCACACCUAGAGUGAUUUGGUUAUCAUGGUUGCUCUACCUAAUUAGGGAGGAAGAAGGGAAAUCUACCACUAGGCCACCUAAUUUAUUGAGCAGUACUAUGGGUGGUCAAAAACCAGGAUGUUUGACUUCAUCAAGGUUGAAGAUAGUGAGCAAAUGGACAUAAUUCUUGAUGAUCCUCAUGUUCCUAUUAGAGAAGUCAAAGAAGGAGAAGUUACAAGAAUGGCUGUCAAAAGCCAAAAGGAGUUCAAUGAUCAAGAUAAAAAGAGGAUUGAAAAAAAUUACAAAACCAAGAAGCCGUUGGUUUAUGGUAUAAGGCAUGAUGAAUACAACAAAAUUUCUGCUUGUGAAAGUGCUAAGGAGAUCUGGAAGUUUUUGAGGACCGCUCAUGAAAGUACUUGUUAUGUGAAAGAUUCAAAAGUAGAAAUUCUGACUACUCAGUAUGAGACCUUCACUACGAAAAAAAGAGAAACAAUCCAAGAGAUCCACACAAGAUUCACUUCUAUCACAAAUGAGCUUCACUGCCUAAGAGAACUGAUUCCUUCGUAAAAAUAAGAGAGAAAAAUUCUUGGUGUUCUUCCUAAGUCCUGGAAAAGUAAUGUAGAUGCCAUAAUUGAAGAAAAGAAUCUGAAGACCCUCACUGUGGAAGAAUUGAUAAAAAAAUUUGAAGAGCCAUAAGCUCUAAAAGCAGUAAAGGAUGGAUAAGAAGGAAGUAAAAAGAGAAAUUCCUAGCUUUGAACUCAUCUAAACAUGAUUUUGAUGAUGAAGAGAUUGAAGUUGCCUAUAUGGCAAGCAGGAUUGUUAGAGCCGUGAAGAAGAGUGGUCAGUUUCAAAGAAGAGAAAGCAGUAGCAAGAAGGGAAGUAAUGUUGAGGUGUGUAACAAAUGUGGAAGUCCUGAGAAUUUCAUUAAGGAUUGUCCAAUACACAAAAUGGACUAUAAGAUUUACCUUAAUGCUGCAGGUAACAAGGGAAAGUUAAGGGACCAGGUCCCUAAAAAAUCAAGAAGGAAGGUUGUAGUUGGUUAUGCUGUAUAGCAAGCUUUAGCAGGAUGGCGAGACUAUUACAGUGAUUCAGGUGAAAAUGAGAAGAUAGGAGAUAAUUCUAUGCUCAUACUAAAAGACAAUCCACUUAUCUGUGAUUCCUUAUUUACAUUCAUGGCUGACACAGAGAAUGAAAAAAAGGUAACUCUAUUGAUAUUAAGUAGAAUUUCGAUAAUUACACGAUUAGGAAAAUAAAAAGGCUUGCAAGUGUGUUGAUAGACUCUAUAUGUGAACUAACUACUGAGAUGAAAUCUAAAAAUCUGAGUUGGAUAAGUAAUCUAAAGAAAAUAAAUGAUGUAGAAGGAAAAGAGAAGAAAUUAGAUUUAAGGCUUCAAGUUAAUCUUAAGGAAAGAUUGGAAGAUUCCUAAACACACUUUACAGGAAUGAAAAGUUUAAAAAGGUCCUGGUCCGCUUAAGAGAAGGGUUGAACAAGUCUCUUAAAUGGACUGCUUCUUCACAUAUCCUUCCUAAACUUUUUAUUCAGGGUGUUAAUGAUGGUAAAGGACUGGACGGUCAAGGAGAAUUUCAACUUACUAAGUGGAAAGGAAAGACUGUCAAUGGUGGUAGAAAUAAGGUUUUCAUUCCUAUGUGUAGUUAUUAUGAAAGGAUGAGCACAUUAAGGAAAGUUGUCAAAUAUGGAUAAGAGCUAGAAUUAAUAAUUUUAGAUAUGUUCAUCAAGAGAGUACAAAACAUAAGGGGCUCAAACCUCUGAAAAAUGUGAGGAAUAAUUCUCUAACUAAAUGGGCCAAGAAUGUUCUGAUCACACCGUUGGCCUCUAUUUGAAAACUCAACCGAAGUGUGUUCCCAAAUCCAACUUGUGAUCAUGAAUUCAGGUAUGAGAAAGGGGAUUAAAUUCUCACUCUCAAGAUACUUCAACGUGGAAUUUUCUCACUUUGUAAGAGAUGAUUACAAGGACCUGGGUCCCAAAUGAAUUUAUCCUAAAAGAAGAAACUUGAGGUAGUAUAAGUGAAGAAACGAUCUAGAACUUGGUCCUCCAACCUGUUCUAAAAGAGCAAAUUGAAGCUGAGCUUGAUCAAAAUGCCCUGACCUAACAUCUGAGUCAGUGUCACUCCUUAAAAUUGGCUAUGUCAGGAAGACAGGUAUCUAUGAUAAAGUAAGUGUAUGUUAAUCUAUCAUACCUUUGCAGGUAUACACCUAUGGGUACAACUUUGGAAAAAAUAAGUUGAAGUAAUCACAAGCUAAAAUUUCACUCAAGAAAGAGAGGGACUUGGUUCUAUCUCUUAGGUGAGUACCAAAAUAAUGUGCCUUAAAUUUUUUAUAAAAUUUUUAUUUUAAAAGGGCAACUUUUGCAAUCCCAUAUGAACAAAAGCUAUCAAUUUGGUUUAAAUGUGAAGAGUUACAACCGUUGUCAUCAAAUGCAUCAUUUCAAAAAGGUAUCUCUUAUAUGUCAAAUAAUCAUCUUUUAAAUUAUAAAUUCAAUUUCUCUUAAUUCAUUUUCUUCUCAAUUAACUCAAAACAUUAUCAAAACUGGUCCCUCCUCUUUUCAUCUCCAAAAAGCACAAAAUGUCUAAAAUUUCCUCUUCUUCAAGCCCCAUGAAAGAUUUACCCUUUGAUUAUUCUCAAAAGCCACAAAGAGUGUCACUCGUCAGUCCUUCCCAUGAGAUUCUUGAGACCCUUAGUGAAACUAUUCCAGUAGAAAAUCGAAGCCCCAGUGAAUGUUCUGUCCAAAUAAAUAACCUAAACAAAGGUUAUGGCUCUCCAAUAGAGCAAAAUAUUAUUCAAUCAGAAGGACCUCAUUCAUCAGAAAAAUCAGAGUCCUCCAAUGCCCCUCAAAUUUAGGUCCCUUCUGAGGAAUUAAAAGGUACUGGAAUUUUAGAUAAUUUACAAGGACCUGGUUCUCCUACCCUUUCCAAGUCAAACUAUAUAUUUACCUAUCUUAUUAAUAAGAUUCUUGUAAAGAAAUCUGAUUCUCUCAGCAGCAUAAAUUUGGUAGCUGAAAAUUUACUUUUACCUGAAAAUGAUCCCAAGGAAGGUUCUGUUAGUGGGGAAAAUCAAAUAACAGGAGAAAAAUAGCAGUUUAAAGAGGAUAGAGAGUUUGUAUUACCGCCAAAUUAGUAAAAUAAAAAGGAUGAUGAUGAACAACAUCUGAUUUAGAAAAUGAAGAAUCUUAUCGACAGUAAAGAAAAGGAGAAAAUUAUUAACACUGGUGUACAAGGCACUAUAUCUUAUUCCACUAGGGGAUCUGAACAAAAAUUACUAGUAGAUGCCAUGAAGGAAAGUAUGUCCUCUACCACCAAAAGAAUAAGACUCAAGAAAGCUGUCAUAGUUAAGGAGGUAAAUGUUGAAGUAGUGGGGGUUAGGGUAAGAUGAUGAUACAUACACUGAUAUUGUAAUUGUAACUAUAAAGAAAAUACAAGAAGUUGAUGUCGUUGAGAGGACCAGGUCAUCUAGUCCAAAGUCUAAUAGUCCUGCUAUAAGCAAAAAGAAGCAUAUUUCUAUCAAAAGAAAGGAAGUCUCUAAGGUACCUGGUACCACUGAAAAACUUACAACAAAAAAUGAAAAACUUAAGGCCAAAAUUCCAGAGUUGACUGGUGAAAUCCAAGUACAGAUGUUGAAGUAAGAACUCUCACCAAACUAUUACUGGAUGCUCGUGCUGCUGGGAUGGACAUGUUGCUAAAAUCUCUCUCCCUUAAACCCUAUUCUACCUGAGUCCUAGUGUGUCAACUUCCUGAGUCAGUUUCAAUUGUGGCCUUUGGAAACAAUACUUUUUAUAAUUUUUUUGGUAUAUUGUUAUGGUAUUUAUCCUAAUUAGUGAAUGUUAAAGCUAAUUAUUUUAUCUUUAUUUUAAAGCUAUUUUUCUUGUUAGUGUCUCCCCAGCGACCUUGAGUUAAUUAGCUUGUACUUAUCUUUACUCUUGAUUUACUGUUAAUCCUUUUCAGAGAUGCUAAAAGGGGGAAUAUUGAUUUCAUAUGUAAGGAUCAGGGGUGUGUGUGCUCAUGUUACUGAUAGGGUAAGGCACAGUAAUAAGGAGAGCAAAACUAUAAUGCCCCGAUUUUCUGAACCGAAAUGCUACAUGGUGAUCAUGACCCCCGAAGGACCACAAGCUAACCCAUGACUAAUAUCUGUACCUGUAAACUACAUAAUAUCUCAUAAAAUAUGCGGAAACAUGAACUAUAAAGGUAUAAGGUUCGAUACUGAUACAUAUCUGAAAAAUAUGGUAUAACAAUACCAAAAAGAAAUAUAAAUACUGAAGUGUGAACGUCAAAUCUAACAUCCAGGUCUGAAAGCCUCUAACUGAACUAAAUAAGGAGUUGAAGAACAUGUCUUCAACUAACUCCAUGAAAUAAAAAACUAAUCUGAAAUAAUAAAGUAAUAGAAAUAUUGUCUUGGAAUGAAGAGGAGCACUGACUCCUAAAAUCUACAAUGCUACUGUUUCUCUGAAACUCGUACCUCUAUACCAUGGCGUCAAAUAAAACACCAUAGCGUGAAUGCGUCAGUACGACUGAAUAUACUAAGUAUACGAGUGACGUAGGCUAAAUGCAAAGGGUUUUAUAUGCAUGAACAAUGCUAACUGAUAUGAACGUGAGAAUACAUACAUACAUACGUAACUGCAACUAAACUCGUGGUGAUGCUGACUACUGAGUUUGAAUACUAUCAACAUGAGUUUACUGAUGCUGAGAUACUGUAGACUGAGUUUACUGAUAUUGAUAUGUAAUUCACUAAUAAGUGAGGAACUGAUAUUGUAUUACUGAAUACUUGGAGAAUGAUACUAUAUUACUAAUAAAAAAAUGAUUGUUUCUGAUAUUUCUGAUGAUGAACUAAUUUGAUUGACCGUAUAUAACAGUCCUAAAACUGAGCUCGUGAUAACAUGACUACUAGUAUGGAUACUGAUGACAUUUAUUUACUGAUAACAUAUCAUGAAUGAUAACUGAAUUUUGAUAAUUGAUAUAUUUGAUAACAUGAGUUUUGAUAACUGAUAGCAUGAAUAACUUUAUCUAAUAGUCCUAAAUCUGAUGGAACUAGCUGUUUUUCGUGUUGUAUCUGAGUUGACUGUAUCUUAAUAUCCUGAAGAACUAUCAGAGUUCUUUUACUGAGACUGAUACUGAAAUUGUGGGAAGUAGUAAUCUAACCGACAUACCCUAAAUACACUAUAAUAGCUAAGCUGGGGUGCAAUCUCUGCCCUGAUUGGAAGGGUGUCAAUACCGUGCCACUGGUAAGGACAAGCUGUGAGUGACUCUCAUCUGGUAGGUACUCUAAUGAGAAUGGUGGUAACCCUCAUCUGAUUGAUUAAGUAACCUCAUCUACCCUCAACUGAUAGGUAUUGAUGUCUUAACCUAUGCUGGCUACAUAGUUCUGGAAUGCAAGGACUGCUUCUAAGAAUCACACCCUCUACUGGCAGGUGAGUUCCCAUCCUUGGGUUCGCUCGGUGUUGAAUCCAACUCCCAACUGAAUGACACUGAACUGAUUAUACUGAACUGAUUUCCUAGUUCAUACUAAAAUUAACUGAACUGUUACUGAUUGUUCUGUUUAACUGAACAAAACAUGGAUUGAGUUUAUUGACUUCCGAUAACUAGCGAAACACUACUAAAUUCUGUUAAAUGACUAAAUGCUACUGAAUUUUGUUAGCUGACUGAAGUCUACUGAACAUGGCUUGACUGAGAGUAUUGUGAAAACAUGACAAAGCUCUAGUCACACAACUAUAUUUUUCAGGUACGAAUACCCCUAGGACUCGAUGGAAGGAAACUGACAUGACUUGACAUACAAGAGUACUUGACCAACAUUAACAAUCCAUAAUAUAGCAUCUAUGGGGAAUUCAUAAAUUAUGUCGUUUUCAUAACCUUUUCAUAUAGCUAAUAUCAUGGUCAAUUAUACUAUCAUGACAAGCCAACAACAUAUUCAUAGCACAUUAAUAGCAUAGAAAUCAUCUUGAUCAAGUAGACAUGGCAUAACUUAAGAGACAUGGCAAAAUCUUAGAGCAUGAAGACUAGGUACUUGAUCAUCAUUUAUUCGUUGAGCCACAUUAUCAAACACAUGGCAGGCAUAUGUUUAGCAUGGGAGUCAACUUAAGCACAUGGAUAUGGCAUGGAAUCAUCAUUUAGAUCACAAAUAGGUCAAAGUACUCAAUUCUUCUUCACUUAGGUAUUUUAACAAACACCUUGCAUGCACUAUUUAGGGAAUAGGCCUAAUGAUCAAUUUUAUACACCAUAACACCAUAAUUCAACUCAAAUCCACCAAUUGAAUCCAAAAAAUAUCAUGGUAUCAUGAACAACAUGUAAAUAUUCAAACUUUAUUCACACAACAUGGAAUUCAUCUGAAAUCAUAAAACAUGGACUAAGGACUUGUUAAUUGAGCACUCUUAAACCAUGAAAACAUGAUUAUGCCUUUUUAGGCAUUUCGUCGAACACCUUGCAUGCACAGUUUAUGGUAUAGGUGUUCUUAAUAAUUUAGUCAGCUUAAACUACCAAUUUCAUGGGUUUUAACUAUAAGCACACAUACUUCAUGAGAAUCACCCUAAAUUAACAUCUUGAAGCAUAAAUAACAACUAUCAACAUGUACAUGAUAAUAUCUGAACAAGACAAUCACAAUAUAGUGUUUUAAGCAUGAUUCUUGGACUCCUACGGAUGAAAGGAAUCUGUGGAUGAACACUACGCAUACCUUAGGUUGAAGAUUCUUGAAGAAAUUCUUAGACAUGUUCUUGAUUCCUUGACUAGGAUUCUUGUUCCUUUGAGAGAAAAUAAAUUGGCUCUUGAUUUUGAAUAACUUGAAUAUCAUAUAUUAUUGAAGAAGAAUUUGAUUCUUGUUAUAGGUUAUGAUCUUGAGAGAAAUCCUUUUUUUUAUGUUGAAGAUAAAUGAGGAGUUAUGUUCUUCAAUUGAUGGGAUUUGGGUAUUCAAAUUGAAACCCUAGCUUGAGUUCUUGAGAGGAUUUUGAGAAGAGGAGUAUAUUUUGCUGCAAAUAAUCCUUAAUCCUGUGUUUGAGGUAUAUAUAGGGGUGGAAGAUGACCAAUAUACCCCUAAGGAACAAUUAAGGUCAAAUCUGUCCCUAAUUGACUAUCUGAUAGGCUGAAGUAAAUUGAUCAUAACUUUUCAUUUAGAUGUCCAAAUGGGAUGAAAAUAAUUUCAUUGGAAAGAUUUAAAGAUAUUUCCAUUGAUAUAUAGCAGCUCUCACAUUUCAUUACAUAUAAAUAGUUCUUUUGUUGCCACUGUUUGACCCAAAUCCUAAUGUUGACCUCAUAUAUAAAUAAUUAAAGACAAUAAAGUUUGACCCCUCAAUAUUUUUAUUUUUUUUACCCUUGAACAUUAUCUUAACCAACAAUUUUUUUUUAUUUGGCGAUUGUGUUUUUGUAAAAAAUUCACGAUAUUUAUAAUAUAAAUAUGAACAGUUUUAAUCAAAUUUCUUCAUUGUCAUCAUCAAAUAAUUGUACACUUAUACUAUAUAAUUAAUAGUAACUAUACCUUUUUAAAANNNNNNNNNNNNNNNNNNNNNNNNNNNNNNNNNNNNNNNNNNNNNNNNNNNNNNNNNNNNNNNNNNNNNNNNNNNNNNNNNNNNNNNNNNNNNNNNNNNNNNNNNNNNNNNNNNNNNNNNNNNNNNNNNNNNNNNNNNNNNNNNNNNNNNNNNNNNNNNNNNNNNNNNNNNNNNNNNNNNNNNNNNNNNNNNNNNNNNNNNNNNNNNNNNNNNNNNNNNNNNNNNNNNNNNNNNNNNNNNNNNNNNNNNNNNNNNNNNNNNNNNNNNNNNNNNNNNNNNNNNNNNNNNNNNNNNNNNNNNNNNNNNNNNNNNNNNNNNNNNNNNNNNNNNNNNNNNNNNNNNNNNNNNNNNNNNNNNNNNNNNNNNNNNNNNNNNNNNNNNNNNNNNNNNNNNNNNNNNNNNNNNNNNNNNNNNNNNNNNNNNNNNNNNNNNNNNNNNNNNNNNNNNNNNNNNNNNNNNNNNNNNNNNNNNNNNNNNNNNNNNNNNNNNNNNNNNNNNNNNNNNNNNNNNNNNNNNNNNNNNNNNNNNNNNNNNNNNNNNNNNNNNNNNNNNNNNNNNNNNNNNNNNNNNNNNNNNNNNNNNNNNNNNNNNNNNNNNNNNNNNNNNNNNNNNNNNNNNNNNNNNNNNNNNNNNNNNNNNNNNNNNNNNNNNNNNNNNNNNNNNNNNNNNNNNNNNNNNNNNNNNNNNNNNNNNNNNNNNNNNNNNNNNNNNNNNNNNNNNNNNNNNNNNNUGUCGGGUGUGGGGAUAGGGAAGGGAUUGUGUUUUAGGUAAAAAACUUUUAUUCUAAAAAAAAGAAAUUUAAUUUUUUACAAAACUAUAUUUUUUAGGGGAUGGGGUACUAUCGUAUAGAGGGUUAUAGGUGGUUGGGUGAAUUUCUUUUUAUAAAAAAAUUAUUUAUUUAUUUCAAAAAAAUAUUUUUUUGGGAGGAGUAGCAGAUGCGACGAAGGGAAAAGGGUGGGAUUUUGAUCGUGAGGUAAGAAAAGAUUUUUAACCUUUUUUUAAAAAUUAAAAUAAUUAAUUUUUUGGGUGGAGAAGGGGGUGAGGGUGGGGGUCUAGUAGGGAGGGGAAUGGGGAUGAGGUGGGGAGGGGGGAAAAAUUAUAAAAACUUUUUAAGAAAUAAAAAUAAUAUAUUUAAUGGAGGCAGGGUGAGUGGGGUAAGCUAGGGGUGUAGUGGGGUUGGGGUGAGGUGGGGGCAAGCUGUGGUGGGUCAUUUUGAGAGUAGGAGGACAUAUUAUCUCUUGUUUUUCUUACUUUCAUUAAGAAAAUUAUUUCUUUAUCAAACGGGUUGAAGCGGAGAUUGAUUGGCUCAUUUGAAUCCAAUUUAAAAAUGAGUUGAGAUUUACCCAAUAGUAAAUUGUCUUGAACCCAACACAUUAAAUAUUGGAUGGGUUGGACGGGUUAGCACAAUUUGGGUUCAUUUUGACACCUCUGCCCUUGACCAUCCCACCCCGUCACCCUCAAGACCCCACACCCUAACCCAUCCCACUUCUAGAGCUUUUUGCUAAAUAAUGUACAAAUGAUCUUGAAAUAAUAAGUCCGUGGAUAAUAUUUUACCUUCAUACAAAACACACCCUAAAGCAAUGAGAGUUGACAAGCUCAAUAGUUGGCUUGAAAAACACAACUUCUAUGCUCCUUGAUAUAGUUUCUCUUAAGAAUUAAUGGUCAAAAAAGCACCUGAACUAUUACUUUUUUCGCAAGCUUCACAUUCCAACUAUCAAUUAUUUCCUUUUUUUUCACCUGAACCAUCAUCGUUUAUUUUGGGAUUUGAUUAAAUUUGAAUUUGCACAUUUUAGGGUCACUUUCGUCAAGAAUUUGAGCACAACAAGGUCCAUUUCUAGGAGACUAGAACAAUUCUUGUAAGAACAAUUUUUUUUUAGAAACUUGUACUCAAGAACCUCUUAAUAAGUUUUUUCUUUUAUUUUGUUGGCAUUUAAUUUUUGCCACUCAAAGCAAGUUGCUUUUCCGAGGCGCAUAAGUUUAUAUUUUCACAUAAUCAACAAGUUAUAUGUUAUAUAUCAUUCCCUUCGUCUCAUAUUACUUGACAUGUUUGUCUUUUGCACAAACGUUAAGGAGAAAUUAAUAAGGAGUGCAGAUUGGCUAAUAUAACCAUGUUAAACUCACAUUAAAUAUUGUCAUUACUUAUUGGAGUUAAUUGCUCUUCCAUUAAGAGCAAAAAUCUUCAGUAAAUAUUUUCCUAAAAUUGUACUAAUUCAACUUUGGAUUUGAAACAAAAGGCCAUUGUUGUGGUCGACUCCUGCCAUUGUCCAUCUAUUUAAUCGUCGUUGUGGUCGAAUCCUACCGGUUACCUACUGACUUUACUCUAGUUAAUUGUUCUGUCCAUCCAAGAUUCAAUCCAUCCAAGUUUCAAUCACAUCUCUGUGACCCAACAAACCCAUCAGUUUUCAGCGAGUGACGUCAGUUUUUGGCUAAGCGGAUUGUCAUUAUUUUUCUCACUUCUUGCGUCGACCACUAAACUUUAGCGGUUUCUUGUCGGACUAGCGACCCAUCAGUUUCUGACAAGUGACGUAAGUUUCCAGCGAAACUAAUCAUUGUUUUUCCUCACUUCUUUCACGACCAUAACUCUCUUCCCUUUUCUUUCUAUCCCUUUAUAGGUACUACAAGUCCAGAUCUGAAACCUCUUCUCAAAUGGUGACGUCAAGAUUUCGGCAACCAAUUUUCAUCGCAAAUUAUCGAAAUUCGAUGACUCGACCAAGUAAACUGACCCAACUUCAAUCAGGUGCAGUCACUCCAUCUCUUCUAGUCGUGUGUAUAGCUUUCUUGAUUCUAGUGGCUGCUAUUGUCUGUCUUGUGUACUAUUUGUACUUAAUCCCUUUUAUCUUCGGGCCUUCAUUGACUAUCUUGUCUGUGGAUGACAAUUUACCUAUUUAUUUCUAUAUUUCAUAGUAGUGAUUUACUUGUUAAUUCUACUUGUCUUUUAUUCAUUUUUAUUGUUCUUAGUAGUUCUGUAGUGUGGGCUUGGUAGUAACAUUUUUGGUUUGCAUUAUUGUCUAGACUGUGUUCUAUUAGUGCUAUUGGUUUGUGCAGUCUCUAGUCUCUGAUGGUUUUGGAAAAUGGUGUUAAAUUAGGGCCAUGUCUUUGGGCGGAGCUUGGGCCGGGGUCGGGGUAGGGUAGGGAGAAGGAAGGGUAAAAGGGCUAAAGGUGGUUGUAGGUUGCGAGUAGGAUCAUGGAAAAUAUGUUCUUUAUUAGAGAAAUCAUUAGUUCUAGUGAAAAUUCUUGGAAAAAAAGUGAAUUAAUAUAGCUUGUCUCCAAGAUACCAAAUAGGUAGGUACUAAGGCGAGGGUAUUAGACGGUUAUAUGUUGUGGUACUCAGGAAGCAUGAGGAACAAGAAUGGUGUAGCUAUCCUAGUAUAUGAUGAUCUCAGAAAGCAAAUGGUAGAGUUUAAGAGGGUCAACAAUAGGAUGACGUCAAGAUUUCGGCAACCAAUUUUCAUCGCAAAUUAUCGAAAUUCGAUGACUCGACCAAGUAAACUGACCCAACUUCAAUCAGGUGCAGUCACUCCAUCUCUUCUAGUCGUGUGUAUAGCUUUCUUGAUUCUAGUGGCUGCUAUUGUCUGUCUUGUGUACUAUUUGUACUUAAUCCCUUUUAUCUUCGGGCCUUCAUUGACUAUCUUGUCUGUGGAUGACAAUUUACCUAUUUAUUUCUAUAUUUCAUAGUAGUGAUUUACUUGUUAAUUCUACUUGUCUUUUAUUCAUUUUUAUUGUUCUUAGUAGUUCUGUAGUGUGGGCUUGGUAGUAACAUUUUUGGUUUGCAUUAUUGUCUAGACUGUGUUCUAUUAGUGCUAUUGGUUUGUGCAGUCUCUAGUCUCUGAUGGUUUUGGAAAAUGGUGUUAAAUUAGGGCCAUGUCUUUGGGCGGAGCUUGGGCCGGGGUCGGGGUAGGGUAGGGAGAAGGAAGGGUAAAAGGGCUAAAGGUGGUUGUAGGUUGAGAGUAGGAUCAUGGAAAAUAUGUUCUUUAUUAGAGAAAUCAUUAGUUCUAGUGAAAAUUCUUAGAAAAAAAGUGAAUUAAUAUAGCUUGUCUCCAAGAUACCAAAUAGGUAGGUACUAAGGCGAGGGUAUUAGACGGUUAUAAGUUGUGGUACUCAGGAAGCAUGAGGAACAGGAAUGGUGUAGGUAUCCUAGUAUAUGAUGAUCUCAGAAAGCAAAUGGUAGAGUUUAAGAGGGUCAACAAUAGGAUGAUGUCAAUUAAACUAGUUAUUGGAGAGUCUUCUUGGAAUAUUAUUAGUGUAUACGCCCCGCAUAUAGGCUUGGAUGAGGAUGAGAAUAAGAGGUUUUGGGAGGCUUUGGUCGAGAUGGUGAGAGGUGUCCCUAGUGAUGAUAAGAUUUUUAUAGGAGGAGAUUUCAAUGGACACAUUGGGUCUUCUUCAAGGGGUUAUGAUGAUGUGCAUAAAGGCUGUGGGUUGGAAUAUGGAAUGACGAAGGAGUGGCACUUUUGAAUUUUGCUCGGGCGUUUUGUUUGGUGGUAGGUAGUUAAUUCAAACUUUCCCAAGAAGAAGGUUCACUUGGUACCUUUCGUAAUUCGAUGGCCAAGACCCAGAUUGACUUUUUUCUCCUCGAGAAAAGAUAUAGGAGUAUUUGUAAGGACUGUAACAUCUUAUCAAAUGAGAAUCUUUCGACCUAAUAUUGGCUUUUGGUGAUGGACUUGGAGAUCAUAAAGGAGCAGAGGAGGAGAGGUAUGGAGGAUCAUCCAAGUAUUAUAUAGGGAAAUUUGACUUUGGCUAGUGCACUGGAUAUAAGGGAUAAGUUGAUGAAGGGGAAGGCUUAGGAGAGUGGAUGGGAUGCUAAUAGUAUAUAGGAUAAUAUUGCCAGUUGCAUUAAGAAGGCAACUGGAGAGGUGUUGGGUGUCUCGAGAGGCCUCUUGAGCAAACACCCAGGGGACUGGUGGCGGAACAAAGAGGUAAAGAAGAAGGCGGAGGAUAAGAAGAAAGCAUAUGCAAAGUUGGCUGAGAGUAAGGACGAAGAGGAUAAAUAGAAAAAUUAGAAGUAUAAGAUUACUAGGAGAAAGUUAAAGUUAGUGGUCUCGAUGGCUAAGGAUGCUGCUUUCGAGAGUUUAUACACAACUUUAGAUAGUAAAGGUGGGAGAAAAAAGUUGUAUAGGAUACCCAAGUUUAGGGACAGAAAGGCUCCGUACCUUGAUCAAGUGAAGUGUAUUAACGAUGUGGGCGACAAAGUUUUGGUGGAGAAGGGUUGUAUUAGAAAGAGAUGACAGUCUUACUUCUAUGACCUCCUGAAUAAAAGAAGGGAUACUAGCAUUGUGUUGAGGAAUUUGGAGCAUUACAAAAGGUUUUACGAUUAUGGUUAUUGUAGGCGCAUUAAGGUUGAGAAGGUUAAGGGGGCUAUUCAUUGGAUGUGCAGAGGUAGAGCGAUGGGGCAAGAUGAGAAUCCCAUAGAUUUUUCAAAUAUACAGGAGGGGCAGGUAUGGAGUGGUUGACUCGGUUGUUUAACAUAAUUUUCAAGACGGCAAGGAUUACGGAAGCUUGGAGGUAGAGUAGAUGAUUCCAUUGUAUGAGAAUAAGGGUGGCAUUUAGAAUUGCAAUAAUUAUAGGGGUAUCAAGUUAUUGAGUCACACUAUGAAGGUUUGGGAGAAGGUGAUAGAGUUGAGGUUGUAGAGGAAUAUUACUAUUUCUGAAAAUCAGUUCGUAUUUAUGUCAAUACGCUCGACUAAUAAAUCCAUCUAUCUUACUAGGAGACUAAUGGAGUAGUAUAGUGAAGGAAUGAAGUAUUUGCACAUAGUGUCUAUUGACUUAGAGAAAACUUUUGAUAGAGUUCCUAGGGAGGUUCUUUGGAGGUGUUUGGAGGAUAAAGGUGUACCUAUGGUGUAUGUUAGGGCGAUUAAGGAUAUGUACAAUGGAUUGAAGACUCGGGUCAGGACUAGGGAGGGUACUCGGAGCACUUUCCUAUCUUGAUGGGGUUACACCAAGGAUUGACGCUUAGUUCGUUCCUUUUUACCUUGGUGAUGGAUGUUUUUAUGUGGCAAAUUCAAGGUGAGGUGCCUUACUGUUUGCUUUUUUUGAAUGAUAUGGUCUUGAUUGAUGAGACAUGUAGUGGAGUAAAUGCUAAAUUAGAGGUUUUGAGGAAAACCCUUGAGUCUAAUGGAUUUAGGUUGAGUAGGUCCAAGACGAUAUAUAUGGAGUAUAAGUAUAGCAAGGUGUAGCAUGAGUCCAAUAUGGUUGUUAAGCUUGAUGCUCAUUCUAUCAAUAAGAGAUAUAGUUUUAAGUAUAUAGGGUCUAUGAUUUAGGGGAAUGGAGAGAUUGAUGAAGAUGUCACUUAUAGAUCAGGGUAGGGUGGAUGAAAUAGAAGUUCGCCUCCAAAAUCUUGUGUGUCAAAAAGGUACCUCAUAAACUUAAAGGAAAAUUUUACAAAGUGGUAGUUAGACUGAUUUUAUUGUAUGGGGCGGAGUGCUGGCCUGUUAAGAAGGCCCAUAUCCAGAAGAUAAAUGUAGCGGAGAUGAGAAUGCUUUGGUGGAUGUGUGGGUGUACUAGAAAAGAUAGUAUUAGAAAUGAGGUUAUUCAAGAUAAGGUAGGAGUGACUUCAGUGAAAGCCAAGAUGAGGGAAACACGGUUGAGAUGGUUUGGUCAUAUGAUAAGAAGGGGCGUAGAUUCCCAACAGGUGUGGGGAUGGUUUCAAGCGAGGUAGAGGUAGACCAAAGAAAUAUUGGAGAAAGGUGAUUAGACAUGACAUGGAGCAACUCCAACCUAUCAAGGACAUGAACCUAGAUAGGAAGUUAUAGAGGAGGCACAUUAGAGUAGAAGGUUAGUAUGAGUUUAAGAUGUUGUGUUACUUGGUGUAUCUUGUUUAUGGUAUUAUUUGAUAUGUUGAUUUCUAUUGUCUUUUGUUCUUUUAUUAUUCCUUGUCUAGAUUGUUUUGUUUUGAUCCGGGUGUCUUUCAGAAACAACCUAUCUAUCUCACAUCUGAGGUAGUGGUAUGCGCUACAUACAGUUACCCCCGAUCCCAAUUGCUGUUGUUAUUGUACUAAUGCUCAACAUCCUUAAAGAAUCUAUGCCUCACUAGAUACAAGAAGUGACGGAGCAAGAAUUUUCAGUAAGAGGGUUCAAAAUCGAAAAAUGUUGGCACACGAAUUAACCGCAGGGGUUCAACAUCAAUUAUAUAUACAAAAAAUAAUUUUCACCAUAUAAAAAUAGUAUAAUUGUUCAACGAAGGGUUUUCAGCCAUAAUACGGCUCAGCCACUGGAUGCAAGUUUAAUACAUAACAAAAAUUAAAGACCUUUCAAUUGGGUAGACAAUCCAUGAAACUAAAUGAGUAAAAAUUGGGUGGAAUUAUCAAUUUAUGGGCCAUUUAUUAGUAAACUUUAACCACCCAUACACUUAAAUAAUUUUCUUGUAAAGAAUAUAGAGGUAAAAACUAAAAUAAUUAACUUAAUAUAAUGCUACCUACUAGUAGUUCUAUUGAAAAGAGCAAAAAUAUAUUGCACAAAAAUGUAGUUAAGAUUUCAACUUUAUGGGUUUUGAAUUUAAAAAUAAUGAGUUCAGUUGCCAAUAAUUGGUACUACAUUUAAUAUUUGCACAUAUUUAGUUAAUUUCUAAGUUCAAAUACACUUUUUGUACAAUAGCUAGAUCAUGUAUCUCCGAUUAAAGACUCAAUGCAUAACAAAAAAGAGGACCAAAAAGAUGCAUGGUAUCCAUUAUAUCAUUAAAAUAUACUUCAAGAUCUUAAAAAGAUCAGAUCUAAUAUGAUAGAACAAAAAUAAAACAUUAUCAAAAAAAAAAAAUGCACAGAAAUCCAUUACUCAAUUUUACUAAAAAAAGCAAAAUAUACUUUGCAAAAUCCUAUCACCUAAUCAAUCUUGGUGAAGUCAACAAUAGAUUCAGCAAAUCAUACACCUUAAGCUAGGAUUGAUAUGAGAGUGAGGUGAGUUUUAAUAGAAAGAUGAGGUUGGUUUUUUUUUGUUCGAAGGAAAUAGAAUUAUGUUGCUGACAAGAGGACAGAGAGGAAUUUGAUGUUACAAAUUUGAUGACUUUAAGGGAGGUGCUUAGUCAAUUGACAUGUUUCUGAACCAAAAGAAAUGAAAAAUGAAAUAAUAAUUGGUGUGCACGGUCUAUGAGUGGAGUGUACUAUCAUACCUUUAUUUUUUAUUUUUUAUUUUCUUAAAAGAACCUAAAAAAGAAAGAGGCAAAAAUCUUAAUACCUGAAAUAUAACGCCUAGACUGUAACACUUAAAUUAUAACACCUAAAAUAUAAUGCCUAUAAAUAUGAUCUUCACAUAUAUUGUGAAGAGUUGACUAAUCAAAUUUUUAUAAUCCAUUUUAGAUUCUACUUUCUCUCACUCUAUAUCGAAUUCAACUUGAAGCAAUGAAAAGCAAAGAAUGCUAAGUCUUGUUUAAUAUAUAAAACAAAAAAACUUAGUUUGCAAUUUCUAUUAGAAAAGCAAAUAAUACCAAGUUUUGUUUUAUAUCUAAAACAAAAAACUUAGUUUGCAAUCUCUACUAGUGAGAGUAGAUAUAUAUAAAACAAAACUUAAUAUUUUUUGUUUUUUCAUUUCUUCAAGUUGAAUUCGGUAUAGGGUUAGAGAAAGUAGAAUCCAAAAUGGAUUACAAAGAUUUGAUUAGUUAACUCUUUGUAGUAUAUGUGAAGAGUAUAUAUAUAGGCAUUACAUUUUAGGUGUUAUGCUCUAAGCGUUACAGUCUAGGCGUCAUGUUUUAGGUAUUAAGAUUAUUGUCUCUUUCUUUUAAGGUUCUUUUUUUAAAAAAAUAAAAAUAAAGGCAUGAUAGUACACUCCACUCCAUAGACAGUGCACACAAGUUCUUUCAUUUUUCAGUGCCGAUUGAAAGGUGUUCUUUUGGGGAAGAAGAGUUCAAGUCCAAGAGAAAUGAAUUGUUAAAAUGUGAUAGCUAUUUGGAGGCCCAAGUUAAAGUCUAAGAAUAGAAAUAUUGGAGGCUAAAAUUUAGUUUUGAAGAGAUCCAAAAUUGCUUCCAAAAAAGCCCAAAAGGAAACCUAAUUUAGCCCUUAAGUUGAGCUAAAAUCAGCAGCCCAAUCAAAUUCCACGUAAGACUCAAAAGCAACAACAAAAACGAUCCAAUACAUUUUUAUUUCAACUCAAAUAUUACAGUUUGUUUCUUACACUGCCGCUAAAUAAUGAGUUUACUACUAAGUUGUAGAAUGAUUUUUUAGGGCUUUAUAAGGCAGAGUUUUCCUCCAUAUUCAUUGACCCACUAGCGCUGAAAAGUUAUUUCUCUCCUUAUUCUUUCAAGCUCUGUUCUCUCUCUGUAUUAGAGCCAUUAUAGACUUCAAAUCUUGUAUGAAAAGGCAUUUCAAUCCGUAGAUUCGAAAGGACUUCGUUUAACAUUAACUUAGAUGAACUUACUUAGUAUCUUCAAUCCUCAUUUUCUAGUCUGUAUUUCAUAUGAGCUUGAUCUUUGGUCUUCUUCAUUUUAACCGUCAGAUCUGCUUUUAUGAGCUUUGAUUCCAUUUUGUUUUGUUGUACAACCAUCUUUAUUUGGAAUCUUUCAUUCUUUCGAUGAGGUAUGUCUUUUUUGGGAUAAAUUGGGUGGCCUUUACAUCUUUAUAAGUUUAAAUAUUUUUAUAAUAUGUAUCCCAACUUUCUCUGAUGUUAUAAAUAGUGUAGUUCUUGACAUCUGUAGUAUGAUCUAACGACCUAAUAUCUUUCUUUUGUGAGUUUCACUAUUUUUUAUGAUAUAUCGUGUUUAGAUUCGAACUGUUAUGUUUUUUUCAUUAUUGCUCUCUUGAAAUUGCUCUAGUUCUAAUCCUAAAAAAUGUGAUGUGUUAUUUAUCAAUAUUUAAGAUCUUUUUAAUUAUGAUUAAUUGCUCAGCAAAAUAGUAAAAAUUAAGUUUAUUCAGACUUUUCAAAGCCCCUAAUAUCGUUGUUAUAAAAAUAGCACAAAUAUUUUCUAUUACCGGAGAGAAAUUGAAAGUCAUGAGUUUUUUUGAGAAACAAAAUUAAGAAUAAGAAAUUAAUAAAUAAGCUAGUUGGGGUAAUGUUAGUUGUGUUUUAUAAAGUUUUUUCUUGAAGAUUAAUUAGCUUUUUGUGAGUAUUUAAAUGACUUACUUUGGUAGCAGUGUGAUCUUGUAACUUUCUCAAUUUGAAAGUAAUAUAUAUCAUGCUUUUUAUUUUUAUGAAUUUCUGCGAUAAUUUUAGAGUUUGAUAGUUUGGUAUUUAUAUUUUUCACCAUGAGCUACAUAGAAGGUAGAAUUUAUAUUCUAUACCUACUUUCAUAUAAGGUAGAACACUGUGUAAGCUCUUUUAAAAGUUCAAUAGAAUUUAUUUAUAUAUUUUUUUAUAUUAUCAAAAUUAAUUUUUGUAUCUCUAUCUAUUAAAGCGUGAGUAAAAAUAUCGACAUUAUUAAAUUCUUAAUUAGUUAUGAAGUAAUGAAAUAUUAUCAUUUAAUAUAUACGUAUAAUCACAAAACUUAAAAGUGAAUUGAAGCAAAACUCAAAUAAUACAUAUUUCUUUUACUCGUACAAUUAAGAUCAAUUGCAGAAUCUAAAAAGGAAUGAAGAAAACUUGUUAAGUCUAGGUAUGAGUUAUAUUUAUCUCAAAAAAAUAUUUAAUUUAAAUAUAAUUGAGUUUCACUCCUAUAGCAAACUGUUGUGCUCACAUUAUGUUACGAAUGGAUCAGAUUGGAUCUCAAAAUUAAUAGUUGAUAGCCCAUUUUUUUCUAAUCUGCAUAUCAAACACAUAUUAAACAAUCAAGAAAUAUUAAUCAUAUAACUUUAUCUGCUUUAGAUGCUUAAAUUGUUGAGAGAAAAUGGCUUAUAUUAGUGAAAUUUUUGAGGAUCGUGGAUAUAAACACAUUAAUGUGAUAAUCGGUGUAAAAUUUAAAAUUAUAGAUUUUUAAGCACUCAAUUUGAGCAUUGGCAAUUAGACAAUUGUCUGUUUAUAUUAAGUUCUUCCCAACUCUAGUCAUAUAAGAGCUGCGAGGAUAAUGUAACUGCAUAUGAUGAAUCUAACUUCCUACAUUUUUGCAGAGAUCUUCUGAAGCAAAUGGGGAGUUUGUAGGUCCUCUAUGAACAGCGGGAAAGAAACAGUGUGGCGAACUUGCUAGCAAAGGAGGGCACAAAGUUAGGAAGUAACUGUUUUUGGAAGGAUUGGACAGUUCAGCCUUUGUUUGUUCGGGACCCGUACCAAGUAGACAAGGAUGGAACUUCUUGUGUAGGGCACUAUCAAGAUGCCCCUAGCUCUAGUUGUACUAGCUAUGCAUGUACUACAUGUACUACUAAUAUCUGUAGUAAUGACGUUAGGCCAGAACUUUCUCCGGCUAACCAUAAGCCGCCGACUUGUACUACCAAC
Molecule: long non-coding RNA, 32751 nt
Filed under: Capsicum annuum
Lineage: Eukaryota; Viridiplantae; Streptophyta; Magnoliopsida; Solanales; Solanaceae
Description: long non-coding RNA (CANN_LNC010788)
Source: RNAcentral